GAUGAACGCUGGCGGCGUGCCUAAUACAUGCAAGUCGAACGAGGUGCUUUUGUAGCAAUACGAGAGUAUCCUAGUGGCGAACGGGUGAGUAACGCGUGGAUGACCUGCCCCAAAGUGUGGGAUAACAGUCCGAAAGGAUUGCUAAUACCUCAUGUGGUUUAUCGGUUUUAGAAAGCGAUAACUAAAGCAGCAAUGCGCUUUGGGAGGGAUCUGCGUCCCAUCAGCUAGUUGGUGAGGUAACGGCUCACCAAGGCGACGACGGGUAGGGGACCUGAGAGGGUGGCCCCCCACAAUGGAACUGAAACACGGUCCAUACACCUACGGGUGGCAGCAGUAGGGAAUAUUGCUCAAUGGGCGAAAGCCUGAAGCAGCAACGCCGCGUGUGCGAUGAAGGCCUUGGUCGUAAGUCACUUUCUAAGAGAUGAGAAGGAC
This 432-nucleotide ribosomal RNA is filed under the name uncultured bacterium. Its description in RNAcentral is "bacterial SSU rRNA". It matches the Rfam family "Bacterial small subunit ribosomal RNA", at positions 28 to 455 of the family's 1533-position model. The record is from RNAcentral.